AUUAGGGCUUGAUUUCAGCUUCAGAGAAGUUUGACUGAACAUAUUUUGAGAGUUAAAGUCAUUCCAGUUAUUUCAUUAAAAAUGGAACCAAAACCCAAACCAAAUAAAUAUUUAUGGACAAAGAAUCCAGGUGACAUAUCUAGGAAACUUGCCAGCUUCAUGGGAACUGGAGUCAAAUGUAGCUGUAAUGGGAUCACGUUGACACUUUUAUCCCAAAUCGGGAGGGAAGCAGCUCUAUGGAGGAUACAUAACACACUGAGCUGAUUCGGGUUAGUGAGGGCCCAGACUGCUUAAUGUGGUCUUGAACUGCAGUCCCCAAUUCCCCCCCCCCCCAAAAAAAAUCAGAAGCAAACUGUAACUUUGAGUCCAUGUAAGCAGUUGAGCUUUUUCAGCUCUACACAACUGUCCCAUAUGGUACUCCAAACCCCUCUCCUGUUUUAAUAAUAACAGCAGUCAUGGGUGCAACAUAACUAGUGUUAUUCAUCACUUGGAGUUCCUAAAUGGAACUGGCCAUAGUUGCCUUGACAGUCAUCUCAUGCUAUCCAGGCUCAGGUGGCUCCCCAUCUCCUGUGCCACUACUGUCUUCAGCUGCGAAACACCAUCUCCUUAGGGCAGUCUGGCUCUCCCCACACAGUCACCUAAGUGAAUGGCAGACUGGCUGACCCCCUGAAGUGGCAUCAGCACUUUUCACUAUCCUCAGAAUGAUCCUUGACUUAUCUAUGGGUCAUAUAAAAAUCCAUAAUUCAAUCCCGAAAUCUGCCCUCAGUUUAUAUAUGUGUAUAUACAGUAGGGUUGUGUAAAUCUUCUUUUUAAAAUCAUUAGUCAUUUCUAAUUUGUAAGUUUUGAUAUACGCACCAAUAUAAAGAAAUGGGGGGGGGGAGGAUGCCCACACAAAAAAUUAAGAAUCAAAAUGUCCCCCAUAACUUUUUCAUUUGAAUUCUGUUCUCAUCAUGAGGAGAGGAAAGCAGCAGGGUGGGAUGAGCUGAGUGAGCUGGGAAAGAGACUGGGGGAGCAUAGAAUUCUGGGGAAUGUACUUUGAGAAGGCAAAGAGCCCUAUGACAGAGAAAUCAAAAGGCCCUGCCCCAAACUACAUUUCCCAGAAUUCUGUUCAGCAUCAGAAAGCCCCAAUUAGGAUAGGGCUUUCCUGUCAGGGAUUCCUCUUCUUCAGAAGAGGAAGGGGGGCAGGAAAGUGCUCAUGAAUCUGAGGGUGAGUUGGAGUCUGAGGAGGAGACUUUGCUAGUACCCUCAUUCCAGGAGAAACAGAGCAGAGGAAACAGAGCAGAGACAUCGUUCAGCUAGAUUAGCUGCCAGAAAUGCUGCUGAGUGAUUAGGAACUGCCCUAGCAGCUGUGUAGGGACCCAGGGCUAUAAAAGCAGAAGCAGGUGCAGCCAGCUCUUGCUGGUAACAAACUGAUUCUGAUGCCUUCACUCUGGCUGCCUGCUCCAAAUCUGCAUCUGGAUUUAUGCCUGUUUCUUUGUCUGAAUGUCCUAAGGCUGUUCUUGAAAGACAAAACAGGACAUUUCCAGCAAGAGAUCCAAUAAAUUGUUGAAUCUGCAAAGAGGAGGACUGACUGAUACUUCAAUACUAGUGCAAAGAUCACUGCAGAUGCAGACUGCAGCCAGGAAAUCAGAAGACGUCUACUUCUUGGGAGGAGAGCAAUGGCCAACCUCAAUAAAAUACUGAAAAGCAGAGACAUCACACUGGCAACGAAGGUCCGCAUAGUGAAAGCAAUGGUAUUCCCCAUAGUAACCUAUGGAUGCGAGAGCUGGACCAUAAGGAAGGCUGAGCAAAAGAAGAUAGACGCUUUUGAACUUUGGUGCUGGAGGAAAAUCCUGAGAGUGCCUUGGACCGCAAGAAGAUCCAACCAGUCCAUCCUCCAGGAAAUAAUGCCCGGCUGCUCACUGGAGGGAAGGAUAUUAGAGGCAAAGUUGAAGUAUUUUGGCCACAUCAUGAGAAAACAGGAAAGCUUGGAGAAGAUCAUGAUGCUGGGGGAAAUGGGAGGAAAAAGGAAGAGAGGACGACCAAGGGCGAGAUGGAUGGACGGUAUCCUUGAAGUGACUGGCUCGACCUUGAAGGACUGGCGUGGACUGGUCCAUGCGGUCACAAAGAGUCGAAAACGACUGAACGAGUGAGACGACAUGACUUUGGCUUCAUUUACACUGACCAUUACACUGCCACACUUCUAUUUUAAUGAUUGUAUAUUUGUAUAUUUUAAAUUGGGUACUGAUGCUUUUACGUUAAGCUGCUUUGAGUCCCCUUCGGGAGAGAGAGGCUGAGAUAUAAAUAUAAAUAUAAAUAUAAAUAUAAAUAUAAUAAUAAUAAUAAUAAGAAGAAGAAGAAGAAGAAGAAGUAUGGAUUGUCGAUGUUGCAAUCCCAGGUGACAGCAGGAUUGAAGAGAAACAAUUGGAAAAGCUGACACAAUAUGAGGAUUUAAAGAUCGAAUUGCAAAGACUCUGGCACAAGCCAGUCAAGGUGGUCCCAGUGGUGAUCACCACACUGAGUGCAGUGCCUAAAGACCUUGGCCUGCACUUAAACACAAUUGGCGCUGACAAAAUUACCAUCUGCCAGCUGCAGAAGGCCACCUUACUGGGAUCUGCACGCAUUAUUCACUUGGGAAGUGUCCGACAUGUGAUCCAAUACAACAGCUAGCAGAGUGUCUGCUGUGGACUCAUCUUGUUGUGAUAAUAAUAAUAAUAAUAAUAAUAAUAAUAAUAAUAAUAAUAAUAAUAAUAACAACAAUAAUCCAAAAGAUCUAAGCCGGCAUUUGGAAACAAUAGACAUUGACAAAAUUAUGAUCUACUAACUGCAAAAGGUCACCCUACUGGGAUCUGCGCGCAUCAACUGAAAAUACAUCACACAGUCCUAGACACUUGGGAAGUGUUUGACUUGUGAUUUUGUGAUAUGAAAUCCAGCAUACCUAUCUUGUUUGCUGUGUCAUGCAAUGUUGUUGUGUCAAUAAUAAUAAUAAAGCAUUUUCAUAAUGCAAUUUAGCUGCAUUGAACUGCAUUAUAUGGCAGUGUAUACUCAUAUAAUGAAGUCAAACUGCAUUAUGAAACUGCACUAUAUAGCAGUGUAGAUGGGGUCUUUGAAGCUUCAGAGGUCUGUUUGGGUGAAGUGGCCAUUUCUCAAGGGUGUUUAACCAAUUGAUUCUUGCACUAACCAGGGAUUGAACUAGAUGGCCCUUGUGUCCCUUUCAUCUUUACAGUUCUAUGCUUUAGCCUUCAGGUGGUUCUCAAAUCAACAUAUAGGUUUGUAAUUGAUUGAUUUUAUUGCUUUGGAAAAGCUUCCUAAACAGGUGUAGGGCUGGCAACUCAUAAGACUGGGAUGGAUGGACCUCUCCCACAAGGAUCUGAGGGGUCAACCACAGCAGGAGUCCUCCUUCAAAGUGUAUGCAAUUAUGGCUUUAUUCAGACGUCCAAGGUGACAAGCUCUUUGAUAGCACCCAUGUGAAGCUGGGUCCAUAAAACAAUAAACAUAAUAAGACAUAAUGUUUUAUAGCUGGUGGACUUGUUUUACAUUAUAUAAAAUUGUUUUAGCAUGGGCUUAGAAAGAGCCAUUUUAAAUGGUGCCCAGUCAAACUGGGUUUUGCUUUGUUGGUUGAAUUAUGAAGUCAAGAAAAGAGCUGUUGAAUACUGAAACAGGCAAGCCAGAAAUAGCAGUUAGGAGUUCUGCCAUUUCAGAUGGCAUCAGUUCAAAACAAAGGAAUCUUUUUUUAUGCCAUUUCCAGAAUAAUAAAAAGGGAGGGGGGAUUCGUAAUAAAGAUACAAGAAGUGAUAGAAGAAAAGGGCCUAAGGAUCCACAAUCAACCCCAUUGUCAUUUCUUUUAUAUACUGUUAAUGGAGGCAUUUUCCAAAGUGACAUCUCUUGGCUACUUGUCUCUUUCAGGCUCCAAGGACAGGCUUUGCUUCACCUUUCUUAAAGGCAUUAUUUGCUUAUUACAAUGGAAGGUGCAAAAGAGGCAGAAAAUAACUAGUAACCUUAGCGGAGGUUUAUUGCUAUUGGCUGUAGCAAGGGCUAUUUAUCUAAGUUGACCUGAGCUGAUUUAUUACAAGGUACGCUCAGUGCUUGAGGAAAAGCUCGUUCUGCAGAAGUUGCACUCCAGUCAGUGUUUAAUGUCUCCUUCACACACUAGCAGCAAUUUUAGCCUGUCUCUUGACAUUUGUAUUGAUUUGCAACUGAAGUGAAAUCUGCAAUAUUAGUAUUGUCACUGCCCUUGACUUGACUUAGCCUUUAUUCUCACUGUAGGUUUUGUUGCCGAUGAAGGCAGUUCUGACAAUUCUCAGGUGUGUGCUCGUGUAGACAAGUUUACAAUAUUACCCAGGUAAUCAGAUCAUGUAAAACAUGAUUUAGUGAAAAAGGGAAGUAAACGGGAGACUUAAGUCCAUGCUUAAAUGUUUCUUACAUUGAAACAAAAUAAAGAUGAGCAAAUAACUCUAA
Long non-coding RNA from Anolis carolinensis (green anole), 4437 nucleotides. RefSeq lists it as uncharacterized. The transcript has 3 exons. The record is from RefSeq and is a predicted model, not a curated record. NCBI's taxonomy places the organism in Eukaryota, Metazoa, Chordata, Lepidosauria, Squamata, Anolidae.